CCUCCUUUUCUUUGUGGGGACCAGGCAUGCAAUCCCAGUCCCCAUUAUGUAUGGAGGCAGAGGAAGAGGACUCCAGCCCCCUUGGCAUCGUGUGCCAGCAGCUUCCCAUCCACUGGUCCUAUCCUCGAUCACCGGGACAUGG
This 142-nucleotide small nucleolar RNA is filed under the name Dasypus novemcinctus (nine-banded armadillo). RNAcentral describes it as "Small nucleolar RNA SNORA57 (ENSDNOG00000029009.1)". It matches the Rfam family "Small nucleolar RNA SNORA57". From Rfam's summary of the family: U99 belongs to the H/ACA class of snoRNAs which are thought to guide the sites of modification of uridines to pseudouridines, the target for this family is unknown. Lineage: Eukaryota; Metazoa; Chordata; Mammalia; Cingulata; Dasypodidae. The record is from RNAcentral.